CCUGACGACCAUAGCGAGGUGGCCCCACUCCUUCCCAUCCCGAACAGGACAGUGAAACGCCUCUGCGCCGAUGAUAGUGCGGAUUCCCGUGUGAAAGUAGGACAUUGUCAGGC
This 113-nucleotide ribosomal RNA is filed under the name Rubrivivax sp. The record is from RNAcentral. Lineage: Bacteria; Pseudomonadati; Pseudomonadota; Betaproteobacteria; Burkholderiales; Sphaerotilaceae.